GUGAAUCAUCGAAUCUUUGAACGCACCUUGCGCUCCUUGGUAUUCCGAGGAGCAUGCCUGUUUGAGUGUCAUUAAUAUAUCAACCUCUUCAACUUUUUGUUUGUCGGGUGUUUGGAUUUGGGGGUCUUUUUUUGGCUUGGCCCCAAGGCUCGAGCUCCCCCUGAAAUGCAUUAGCAGAACAAUUUGUGAACCGUUCAUUGGUGUGAUAACUAUCUACGCUGUUGACGUGAAACAAGUUCAGCUUCUAACAGUCCAUUGACUUGGACAACUUUUCAUUAAUGUGACCUCAAAUCAGGUAGGACUACCCGCUGAACUUAAGCAUAUCAAUAAGCGGAGG
This 337-nucleotide ribosomal RNA is filed under the name uncultured fungus. RNAcentral describes it as "eukaryotic LSU rRNA". The stretch from base 1 to 71 matches the Rfam family "5.8S ribosomal RNA", at positions 84 to 154 of the family's 154-position model. Lineage: Eukaryota; Fungi. The record is from RNAcentral.